CAAUGCCGGCGACCGGCGCACGGGUGCGUAACGCGUAUCAAACCUGCCUCAUACUCGGGGAUAGCCUUGCGAAAGUAAGAUUAAUACCCGAUGUUGUUGCUUUCUCGCAUGGGAGAGUAACCAAAGAUUUAUCGGUAUGAGAUGGUGAUGCGUCCGAUUAGGUAGUAGGCGGGGUAACGGCCCACCUAGCCUUCGAUCGGUAGGGGUUCUGAGAGGAAGGUCCCCCACACUGGAACUGAGACACGGUCCAGACUCCUACGGGAGGCAGCAGUGAGGAAUAUUGGUCAAUGGGCGAGAGCCUGAACCAGCCAAGUAGCGUGCAGGAUGACGGCCCUCCGGGUUGUAAACUGCUUUUAGUUGGGAAUAAAAAAAGGGACUUGUCCCUUCUUGUAUGUACCUUCAGAAAAAGGACCGGCUAAUUCCGUGCCAGCAGCCGCGGUAAUACGGAAGGUCCAGGCGUUAUCCGGAUUUAUUGGGUUUAAAGGGAGCGUAGGCGGAUUGUUAAGUCAGCGGUUAAAGGGUGUGGCUCAACCAUGCAUUGCCGUUGAAACUGGCGAUCUUGAGUGCAGACAGGGAUGCCGGAAUUCGUGGUGUAGCGGUGAAAUGCUUAGAUAUCACGAAGAACUCCGAUCGCGAAGGCAGGUGUCCGGGCUGCAACUGACGCUGAGGCUCGAAAGUGUGGGUAUCAAACAGGAUUAGAUACCCUGGUAGUCCACGCUGUAAACGAUGAGUGCUAGGUGUU
Molecule: ribosomal RNA, 742 nt
Filed under: uncultured Prevotella sp.
Lineage: Bacteria; Pseudomonadati; Bacteroidota; Bacteroidia; Bacteroidales; Prevotellaceae
Description: bacterial SSU rRNA
Rfam family: Bacterial small subunit ribosomal RNA
Source: RNAcentral